UACGUAGGGUGCGAGCGUUAAUCGGAAUUACUGGGCGUAAAGCGUGCGUAGGCGGUUCGUUAAGUCAGCUGUGAAAGCCCCGGGCUCAACCUGGGAAUUGCGGUUGAAACUGGCGAACUAGAAUCUGGCAGAGGGGGUGGAAUUCCACGUGUAGCAGUGAAAUGCGUUGAUAUGUGUCGGAACACCAAUGGCGAAGGCAGCUCUCUGGACGGGUACUGACGCUCAUUUGCGAAAGCCGAGGUAGCGAACAGG
This 252-nucleotide ribosomal RNA is filed under the name uncultured bacterium. RNAcentral describes it as "partial 16S ribosomal RNA". It matches the Rfam family "Bacterial small subunit ribosomal RNA", at positions 524 to 776 of the family's 1533-position model. The record is from RNAcentral.